RNAcentral lists this ribosomal RNA (1458 nucleotides) under Triticum aestivum (bread wheat). Its description in RNAcentral is "partial small subunit ribosomal RNA". The record is from RNAcentral. Lineage: Eukaryota; Viridiplantae; Streptophyta; Magnoliopsida; Poales; Poaceae.
AUGGUCAUCUCACCACCCCAUGUCAACAAGCACCUCAAACGCUCGUUCGAGCUUGUCGUGAACAACUUCCUCGUCGUCAUCGCCGCACCACUGGCAGCCAUCGCCGUUCUCCGUGAAGCCGCACAGCUCGGACCCGAGGAGAUCCUCUCCCGGCUCCAUGGCUUCCGGCAAGUUCAUGUCUUCUUGGCCGUCUUUCUCCCGUUCGCCUUGGCCACCUUCUACCUCAUGAGUCGCCCUCGCAGCCUCUACCUCGUCGACUACUCUUGCUGCAGGCCUAAAUCUAAUUGCCGUGUCUCCAUAGGAUCCUUGGUGGAGAACGUUCGCUUCUUGCCAUACCUCGAUGAUGGCGGUUGCAACUUCAUGACGCGCAUGCUCAAGCGCUCGGGCCUCGGUGACCAGACCUACCUCCACCCUUCGUUGCACUAUAUCCCCCCGCGCUGCUGCUUAAGUGGAAGCCGCGACGAGGCGGAGCAGGUGAUCUUUGCAGCCGUCGACGAUCUGUUCGCCAAGACGGGCAUAAGUCCUGGUGCCACCGACAUAAUCGUCACCAACUGCAGUGUCUUCUGCCCGACCCCGAGCUUGGCAGACAUGGUCGUGAACAAGUAUAAACUCAGAGCGGACAUCCGUAGCGUGCACAUAUCUGGGAUGGGGUGCAGCGCGGGGGUGAUCUCCCUGGAGGUCGCGAGGAACCUCCUGCAGGCGGCGCCACGGGGCGCCCUGAUGGUGUCCACGGAGACCACCUCUCUCCUCAACUAUACCGGCAAGAACCGGGCGAUGCUGCUGCCAGCCGCCCUGUUCCGCAUGGGUGCGGCCGCGGUGCUGUUGUCAACGUCCAGGUCCGUGUCCCGCUUCCGGCUCACGCACAUCGAGCGAACGCUCACCGCCGCGCAAGACAGGGCUUACCUGUGCUUGUCCAUGAAAGAGGACGACGAGGGAGAAACAGGAGCAUACCUGUCCAAGGACCUUGUGGCAGCCGCCGGCGAAGCGCUCACGGCUAACAUCACGGCAAUAGGGCCCCUCGUCCUCCCGCCCUCGGAGAAGCUGCUGUUUGCGAUCUCGUUCAUUGCACGGAAGGUGCUGAGGAGAAAGAUCAAGCUAUAUGUCCCUAAUUUCCGCACGGCCUUCCAGCACUUCUGCAUCCAUUCUGGUGGCCGGGCAGUGAUCGACGCGGUGCAAACUAGCUUGUGCUUAUCAGAUGAAGACGUGGAGCCAUCACGAAUGACGCUUCACCGAUUCGGAAACACGUCCAGCAGUUCAUUGUGGUACGAGCUUUCAUACAUGGAGGCCAAGAGGCGGACGCGCAAGGGCGAUCGGGUAUGGAUGGUCGGGUUUGGUUCUGGUUUCAAGUGCAACAGCGCCGUUUGGCAGUGCAUCAGGUCUCCCGGCAACACAACUGUUGGUGCGCCAUGGGCUGAUUCUAUUCAUCUGUAUCCUCUGAACAUCUCGGAAGUACGCUAA